This 3538-nucleotide long non-coding RNA is filed under the name Salmo salar (Atlantic salmon). RNAcentral describes it as "lncRNA (ENSSSAG00000085183.1)". The record is from RNAcentral. Lineage: Eukaryota; Metazoa; Chordata; Actinopteri; Salmoniformes; Salmonidae.
AGGAAGUUAUAAACAAUCAACACAACAGUGAAACUGGCUGGCUACUACUACAACAUUUGACUGAAUCUGUGAAUGCAACGACGCAACUGAACAAAGAUUCAGGAGAUUGUUUCAUAUGGGAAGAGCACUUCGAAGAUAAGUUGAAAUGGCAACAGACCAUUAGCUAUUUUGAACAUCGGAUGCUGUGUUAUUGUGGUCACUCGUUACUUUAACUGACGUAGCUAACGAUAGCUAUCUUGCGACUUUGUGUUGACAAGUAGUUAAUGUAGCUAGCUUGCCAUCAACAAGAGUCGGUAGCUAUCUAGUUAGCUAAUUAUUGACACCUCCAAUAUAGACGUGGAAACGUUAACGGUAGCUAUAUGACAACGUUACGCCAUCUGAUUUGUGGCGUAUGUUUUAUAACCAACCUGCUGCUAACGACCUCCAGCUAGUUGUUGCUAGCUAAGUUACCUAAUAAGUUAUCCAGUAACAAUAGUGUUUAGCUAGCUAACUUAGGUAACAGUUAGCUAUACAUUUUUAUUUUUGGUAACGUUCGUUUCAGAGGAGCUACCAUUGCUACAUUGAUCGAUCUGUUUUGACACAUUUCCUCUGGACACUGGGAUUCUGGGGCUAGCAGAACAGUAUUUAAAGAGCAUGUCUACCUCCAACUUCAAAAACAAAUGUGUCACUCAAGUGAAUUGUGUAUACUGUGAGAGUCUACUCUGCACAAGAGGAAUGAAGGCAGUACUUCUUGCAGACACAGAAAUUGAGCUGUUUUCUACGGACAUACCUCCCAACAGAACUGUUGACUUUGUGGCCAGCUGCUACUCUACAGAAAGCUGCAGAUGCAAACUGAGAGAUAUCGCCUGCCUGAAAUGUGGUAAUGUUGUGGGGUAUCACGUGGUCGCUCCCUGUAAGCCCUGCUUGCUGUCCUGUAACAAUGGCCAUUUCUGGAUGUUUAACAGUGAUGCUGUGUCCACCCUCAACCGACUGGAUGCUACAGGUUAAAACUUCUUUCACUCACUGUCUCCCAGCACACUGGCCUCUUACAGUACCUGCUCAUGAAGAAUACAGACUGUAUCCCAAGAGGAAUGUCCUGAACCCAAAGGAGUUAGUUAAAGUAAAUGUAAAGAAGAAUUUCCCCUAAAUGCAUAGUUUGUGACAAGAUGCAACACCGACUGACACAAUGUUUGGCAUUGUGUGUGUACUCUUCCUAUCUCUACUACCACAUCAGUUUAAACUUGUUGCUGUGGGGAGACCUUCCCGAGCUAGAGGACAGUGAGAACGAGGAAUCAGAAAGCCCAUCAGAGGAGGAGUGUAUCAGGUAGAGAGGGAUGAGAGAUGGAGGAGCAAGACCUACCAGAACCCCCAGGAACAGAUGGAGAAGAAGCAGUGAGCGAAAGAGGAGAGGGGGGCUUACCCUGUGACCACAUCCCCCUUCCCAACAUCUGUCUGUUAGAAACACUCUCCGAUCUUUCUCCUCUCUCUCUCUCUCUCUCUCUCUCUCUCUCUCUCUCUCUCUCUCUGGGCGAAACCAAUGAUAGAACUGGACUGUCGGAACUGCCCUCUCUCCUCAAACUCACAACUGAACCCCCAAUCAAACAAACUCAUCUUUCUGAUUCACCGACGGACAGACAGCCGGAUGGAUGGAUGGUCUCAACAUUUCACAUGGCUGUUUUAUACCCUUUGGGUUGCCUAUUGCCAUUGGACACUGGAUUGAACAUUGUAUGCUGUGUUUUAGAUUUGUGUCAGUCCUGUGUUGGUCCUUGAACAAUCACGAUGAUGUUGUGUUUCGGUUUCAGAAUCUGACAUUGUUUACAUUGAGUAUUUGCCAGUUUAUCUUGUCACUCUUUCAUGAGGAGGGCCAGUGUGAUCAACAAAUGGUACUAGAACAUAGACUAUAGAUACGAGUUUGGUUCUAGGGCGCCUCUGUGGUGGGACUGAAGAUGCUCUAGGAAAACAGAUUAAGCCUAAUUACGCACAUGUCACCCGAACCUGGCGAAGGAGCCAGACAGAAAAUACAUGAUCGUGAAAAGGAAAGUUGACGUCCACUCACUACAUUGUUGACAUAGUAACAAUAUUGCAGCAAAAAACAGUGAGAGCGUUGCUAUCCUAACCCAGUAUGAUUGAACACUUGAACGGUUGUGUGCUUGUCAGAGCACUAUAUGAGUAUACUGUAUAUUUGAGUAUGGAUCACUUAUAUAAAGGAGUGCGUGUGUCGAGCAGAACUUUCUAUUGCUGCUGAAGCUUUUGCUUCAGCCAACCUUCUCGACUUGUAUUCUAAUGGCCUUGGAUCGGAUUUGUAUUCUGUGGAGAACUGACUGUCAUCGCAGGAGGUCAUGCUCACCCUCUCACUGGAGCUAAAAUGUGUUCGCUAGCUUUGUUUUGAUGCAUCGGUGCCCAGCAAGUACUGUCGCAAUGAGUGACAUAUCUUAAAUUAGCGUUAAUAUACCUCCCAGUUCAAGCAGACAAGCUAUGCCUGUGUUAAAAGGAUAUGUUGAAGCUUACAUGGGAAAUUAUUUUGGGGUCGUAACGAGCAGUACGAAAGGUAGACAUGCACACCAAAUACCUGAAAUGGCAGUCACCAAUUUGAAAUGGCAGUCACCAAGGCCCAGCGCAGUCAAAAUGUGAUUGUUUUAUGUUUCCACACUGAGGUUGGAAUAAUACUGUGAAAUUGUGAAUAUGAUGAUAAUGCCCUUUUAGUGUGAGAGCUGUUUGAAAAGACCACCUGAAGUUUCAGCCUGUUUUGGUGGGAUGGAGUUUUGAUGUGCCUGGUAUCACCACCAGGCAGUGAAUUGGUUAAUGGACCAAUAAGAAAGAGUUCCAAACCUCUCGGCCAAUAACAACUAGUUUUCCGUUUCCCCUCCCCACUCAGACCACUCCGAUAGUCUUAGCAAAAUUCUUGCUUGAGAAAUUGCUCUUUGCUAAAAAGCUAUUUUUGCUUAUUUUUGACCAUUUUAAUAAACUAUCACAGCAAGGUACUUGAUUGUUACCCAGAAGUGAGUCCAUAUUGAGAUGAAAGCCACUGCGUUGGACCGUUUUAAAUGAUGUUCUAAGCUCUGGCUUAGUGGAUCACAUCUUAUGAUUAUCUCAAUCCCACAGACAAUCUCUUUCCACUUAAAUGUUCCCUUUGUUUCAUUUUCAUUCACAAAAGCAAUGCUUUGUAGUGUACUGUCGUUUUUUUAUUUUUCUCUGUUUAUUUUACAUUUCACUUGCAUUUGAGUGUUACGUUUGGAGGCUGAUUUUUGUUUUGAAGUUUUACCUUAGUGAAGGUAUCACCUGAGAGCUUCCUAUAGCAUAGGACAAUAGGGAGAUAAUCGAAGACCAUCAAAACAGUGACCAAUUAAAAAAAAAAAUAGAAAUCUCCCUUGAAUAUGAUUAACUUCAGUAGCGUGCUUUUAUUUAUUAAUUUUAAUGUAUGUAUUUAUUAACAGGCAUUUGCUGUGUUUAUACUGAUGUGACUUGCCCUGCUGAAAAAAACAUGUAUAUUCUGAAAUUGCACUGAAACUGCAUUGGUAGUUUGAAACAUUUGUUAUUUUUAAUGCUUAUUGUAUUGAUA